RNAcentral lists this transfer RNA (73 nucleotides) under Archaeoglobus sp. RNAcentral's name for it is "tRNA-Val". It matches the Rfam family "tRNA". Rfam says of the family: Transfer RNA (tRNA) molecules are approximately 80 nucleotides in length. Their secondary structure includes four short double-helical elements and three loops (D, anti-codon, and T loops). The record is from RNAcentral. Lineage: Archaea; Methanobacteriati; Methanobacteriota; Archaeoglobi; Archaeoglobales; Archaeoglobaceae.
GGGCUCGUGGUCUAGGGGUUAUGACACCGCCCUUACAUGGCGGGGAUCGCCGGUUCAAAUCCGGCCGAGCCCA